RNAcentral lists this long non-coding RNA (515 nucleotides) under Homo sapiens (human). RNAcentral describes it as "HSALNT0366306". The record is from RNAcentral. Lineage: Eukaryota; Metazoa; Chordata; Mammalia; Primates; Hominidae.
CAGGCAACUCACAACCGUGCCACCCAAAGGCCAAGAUCUCUGUCCCAGACCCUGACAACCAGCCUGCUCAUCUCUGGUAAUGUCCCAGAAAAAAAUGGAUAAGAGGGUCCUUUUCACUGCCUCUGUUCCUGUCUCCAGGAGUUCCCCCAGGGAACACUGCUCUUGCAGGAUCCAAUACAAGAUACAACACUGCAUUUAGUCUUCACGUCUCCUUAGUCUCCUGGUUUCUCAGCUAUUCCUUGUAUUCUGUGACCUUGAGAAUUUUGGAGAGCACAGGUCAAAUAUUUUGCGGAGUGCCCCUCAAUUUGACUUUCUUGAUGUUUUCUCAUGAUUAGGCUGGGGUUGUGGGUUAAUGGGAGGACCACGGAGGUGAAGUACCCCCUCACUGCACCACAGCAGAGAGUGUCACGUCAACGUCAACAGGACCUACCACGUGGUUAUGACUGGUUUCUCCACUGUGGAGUUACUGUGUCCCCAUCCUACAUGCUAUUCUUUGGCAGUGUGUCACAGGCCAG